UACAGGUGGUGCAAGCGUUGUUCGGAAUUAUUGGGCGUAAAGCGCGUGUAGGCGUACCACUAAGUCUGGUGUGAAAUCCCUCGGCUUCACAUCUUCCGUGCAUUGCAUACUGGUGGCCUUGAGUCCUGGAGAGGGUAGCGGAAUUCCCAGUGUAGAGGUGAAAUUCGUAGAUAUUGGGAGGAACACCGGUGGCGAAGGCGGCUACCUGGACAGUGACUGACGCUGAGACGCGAAAGCAUGGGUAGCAAACAGGAUUAGAUACCCUGGUAGUCCAUGCCGUAAACGAUGGGUGCUAGUUGGUGCGGGUAUUGACCCCUGCGCUGACGAAGCUAACGCGUUAAGCACCCCGCCUGGGGAGUACGGCCGCAAGGCUA
RNAcentral lists this ribosomal RNA (374 nucleotides) under uncultured prokaryote. RNAcentral's name for it is "bacterial SSU rRNA". It matches the Rfam family "Bacterial small subunit ribosomal RNA", at positions 524 to 896 of the family's 1533-position model. The record is from RNAcentral.